UCUGUGAUAACUUCCCUACUAAGAUAAAAGAUAUUGUUGGAAAAUCAAUUAUUUAAAGGUUCAGAUAAUACAUGAUAAUUUCUUGCUCAACAUCAACGUCUUCUUUGCGACAGAUGCUUUUGAUUCAGUUCUAAGUGGAUCGUGGAGCACAGAUACUUCGAAAAUUGAUCUUACCAAUUCCAGCUAUGGGACAGCAAUGGUUGAAAUAAUUCAGAGUGGUGAAACACCUGUUUCUGCAAAGUCUAGCAACAAGAAAAUUAAGAUGGAGCCUUGAUGCCAGCGGUUGCUUCACUGGUUCACUCCUUUCAUAACUCUGUCAUGGAGAUGCGGCUCUGUUGUUUUCCUAUUAAAAUUUUGUAUUGUUGUCCAAAAUGUGUCUGGGCAACACUGUAGAUUUCUUCGUUGAUGUUAUUUGUUUGGUUUCGCUGAAUGUUUUUCUCCAGUUGCUUAUGCAAUUUGCUUUGAACUAAGGCAGUACCAUUUGGUAAUAAUAUGUCGAAUAUGGAACAUGUUUUGUGAUUUUA
Long non-coding RNA from Daucus carota subsp. sativus, 524 nucleotides. RefSeq lists it as uncharacterized. NCBI's taxonomy places the organism in Eukaryota, Viridiplantae, Streptophyta, Magnoliopsida, Apiales, Apiaceae. The transcript is spliced from 3 exons. The record is from RefSeq and is a predicted model, not a curated record.